This 337-nucleotide unclassified non-coding RNA is filed under the name soil metagenome. RNAcentral's name for it is "partial contains 5.8S ribosomal RNA, internal transcribed spacer 2, and large subunit ribosomal RNA". The stretch from base 1 to 120 matches the Rfam family "5.8S ribosomal RNA", at positions 35 to 154 of the family's 154-position model. The record is from RNAcentral.
GAUGAAGAACGCAGCGAAAUGCGAUACGUAGUGUGAAUUGCAGAAUUCAGUGAAUCAUCGAAUCUUUGAACGCACAUUGCGCCCUUUGGUAUUCCAAAGGGCAUGCCUGUUCGAGCGUCAUUUGUACCCUCAAGCUUUGCUUGGUGUUGGGCGUCUUGUCUCCAGUCCGCUGGAGACUCGCCUUAAAGUCAUUGGCAGCCGGCCUACUGGUUUCGGAGCGCAGCACAAGUCGCACUCUUUUCCAGCCAAGGUCAGUGUCCAACAAGCCUUUUUUCAACUUUUGACCUCGGAUCAGGUAGGGAUACCCGCUGAACUUAAGCAUAUCAAUAGCGGAGGA